ACCGUGCGGGGUGCUUACACAUGCAGUCGAACGAUGAAGCUGGAGCUUGCUCCGGUGGAUUAGUGGCGAACGGGUGAGUAACACGUGAGCAAUCUGCCCUUCACUCUGGGAUAACUACGGGAAACUGUAGCUAAUACCGGAUACGAUCCCUAGGGCAUCCCUGGGGAUGGAAAGAAUUUCGGUGAAGGAUGAGCUCGCGGCCUAUCAGCUAGUUGGUGAGGUAAUGGCUCACCAAGGCGACGACGGGUAGCCGGCCUGAGAGGGUGACCGGCCACACUGGAACUGAGACACGGUCCAGACUCCUACGGGAGGCAGCAGUGGGGAAUAUUGCACAAUGGGCGAAAGCCUGAUGCAGCAACGCCGCGUGAGGGAUGAAGGCCUUCGGGUUGUAAACCUCUUUUAGCAGGGAAGAAGGGUAACUGACGGUACCUGCAGAAAAAGCACCGGCUAACUACGUGCCAGCAGCCGCGGUAAUACGUAGGGUGCAAGCGUUGUCCGGAAUUAUUGGGCGUAAAGAGCUCGUAGGCGGUUUGUCGCGUCUGCUGUGAAAAUCCAAUGCUCAACAUUGGACCUGCAGUGGGUACGGGCAGACUAGAGUGCGGUAGGGGAGAACGGGAAUUCCUGGUGUAGCGGUGGAAUGCGCAGAUAUCAGGAGGAACACCGAUGGCGAAGGCACUUCUCUGGGCCGUAAACUGACGCU
Molecule: ribosomal RNA, 700 nt
Filed under: uncultured Actinomycetes bacterium
Lineage: Bacteria; Bacillati; Actinomycetota; Actinomycetes
Description: bacterial SSU rRNA
Rfam family: Bacterial small subunit ribosomal RNA
Source: RNAcentral